This 406-nucleotide ribosomal RNA is filed under the name uncultured bacterium. RNAcentral describes it as "bacterial SSU rRNA". It matches the Rfam family "Bacterial small subunit ribosomal RNA", at positions 355 to 774 of the family's 1533-position model. The record is from RNAcentral.
UGAGGAAGUAUUGCACAAUGGGGGAAACCCGUCGAUGCAGCAACGCCGCGUGGAGGAUGACGCAUUUCGGUGUGUAAACUCCUUUUAUGAGUCAAGAAAAUAGACGGUAGCUCAUGAAUAAGCACCGGCUAACUCCGUGCCAGCAGCCGCGGUAAUACGGAGGGUGCAAGCGUUACUCGGAAUCACUGGGCGUAAAGGACGCGUAGGCUGGAUGCCAAGUCUGAUGUGAAAUCCUAUGGCUUAACCAUAGAACUGCAUUGGAAACUGGUAACCUAGAGUAUGGGAGGGGGAGAUGGAAUUAGUGGUGUAGGGGUAAAAUCCGUAGAUAUCACUAGGAAUACCUAAAGCGAAGGCGAUCUCCUGGAACAAUACUGACGCUAAGGCGUGAAAGCGUGGGGAGCAAACG